This is a long non-coding RNA of Arabidopsis thaliana (thale cress), 258 nucleotides long. RefSeq annotates it as other RNA. NCBI's taxonomy places the organism in Eukaryota, Viridiplantae, Streptophyta, Magnoliopsida, Brassicales, Brassicaceae. The record is from RefSeq. The transcript has a single exon.
AGAGGCACGGGGAAUGAUUUGCAUCGAAUAAUAAAUUGCCUCAUAUGUACCAAACAACCUCAUAAGAAUAAUAUAACUCAUCGUAUUAUUAUAUAUAGAAAUAGCAAUAACACUAUCGAGUGUCGAUAUUGAUUAUAGAUUUUGUUUUUGGGCUCGAGGUCGAGGCACAUCUUAAUCUUAUACGCGUCGUCUCCUUUUCUCCACAUGCGCUUCUCUUUCUUCAUCUUCCUUGAAGAUUAAUGUACUUACCGCAAGAAG